AACUUUUAACUGUAUUUUCACCUGCUGUUUUAUAUACUGAUUAUUACGGCGAAGUUAGGGCUUUAUUUGUAUAUAUUUACUACUGGUAAUUUAAAUUAAUUCGAAUGUAUUCUAGCAAUGUUUCGUGGUAAAGGCUGGUUUUCAGGCGGAAUGUGGAAACCAAAAAACCCUCACUCAUUAGAGCAUCUUAAAUAUCUGUAUCAUAUUCUGUAUAAAAAUCAAAUUGUUCAUGAUCAAAACAAAGGUUUAUUGGUCGAAACCCUGCGAUCAAUUGCUGAAAUUCUUAUAUGGGGUGACCAGAAUGAUAGCACAGUUUUCGAUUUUUUCUUAGAAAAGAAUAUGCUUUCUUUUUUUCUGAAGAUUAUGAAGCAGAAGUGUGGACGAUAUGUGUGUGUGCAGUUACUCCAGACCUUAAAUAUUUUAUUUGAAAACAUUCGAAAUGAAACAUCUCUGUAUUAUCUUCUCUCAAAUAAUCAUGUGAAUUCUAUCAUUGUUCAUAAAUUUGACUUUUCUGAUGAAGAAGUUAUGGCCUAUUAUAUAUCAUUCCUAAAGACUUUGUCAUUUAAACUAAAUACUCAUACUAUACAUUUUUUCUAUAAUGAGCACACAAAUGAUUUCCCACUUUAUAAUGAGGCUAUAAAGUUUUUCAAGCACAGUGAAAGUAUGGUCAGAAUAGCUGUAAGAACUUUGACGUUAAAUGUUUUUAAAGUGGAUGAUAAAGCAAUGUUAAAAUUUAUUCGUGACAAAACUGCAGCUCCUUAUUUUUCUAAUCUUGUGUGGUUUAUUAAAGAACAUGUUACAGAAUUGGAUAAAUGUGUAAAUGCUUCUGAGUUCCAAGUUCAAACAAAACUUGCUGAUUUGGUAGCUGAACAUUUGGAUCAUCUUCAUUAUUUAAAUGAUAUACUUUGCCUGCAGAUAGAGGCUUUGAAUGAUGUUCUAACAGAUCACCUUCUCAAUAAACUAUUGAUUCCUGUUUAUGUAUAUUCAUUGGUUCAGAAUGGACAGAAUGCUAGUUCAGAGGAAGAAAAACCACGAGUAAGCUGUAUUGUUUCUCUCUUUUUGCUGUCUCAGGUCUUUUUGAUCGUAUCCCAUCGACCUUUGGUUCAGCAGCUUGCCAGUGUGAUAUUAAAUGGAGAAAUGUCUUUAUUUGAUCCUACAAAUACAUCACCUUGUGAAACUGCUUCAGCACCAUCUGGAGAAGUAGUAAAUGGACCCCAGUCAAAUUCAAAUGAAGCUUUACCAGGAGACCAACAGAAAGGUUCAGAAAGUAUAGAUGAUUAUUCAAAUGAAAGUAGCUUGGAAGGACUAUCUGAAGGCUCAAAUAUUACAGAUGAAGAAAAGGUAGUAGCCGCAAAGAAAUCUAAUCAGUAUGAAAUGAUGCAAAAAAGUUUUACUCUUUCUAAUAGACCUUUUUUAGAAGCUGUCUUUUCUGCAUUAGAUUGCAGUGAAAAUGACCAUGCAGCCUUAUUUUCAUUAUGUGUCUUAUAUGCACUAGGACAUAACCCUGAAUUAUUUACUCCCUCAAGCAUUUACCCGACAUAUAUAUUGUUCCUCUUAUGGCUUAUCAGUUCAGUAUACCAUUGUUCAGAAGCCUGGGAAAAGUCUUCAGCUGAAUGACUUCAUAAGAUAAAAGCAUGACAUAUGUAUCAAUCAAGAACUCCUAGAUUCAGUUCUUAUGCCUUCUAAUAAAUCUGAAAUUAAAUUUUGCUACAAUGUGAAUCUGGUUGAGAGGAUGUUGCAGAUUAUAAGUUUGA
RNAcentral lists this unclassified non-coding RNA (1754 nucleotides) under Stegodyphus dumicola. RNAcentral's name for it is "protein CLEC16A-like, transcript variant X4". Lineage: Eukaryota; Metazoa; Arthropoda; Arachnida; Araneae; Eresidae. The record is from RNAcentral.